CUGCUACUCCCUCCGUCCGAAAUUACUUGUCAUAAAAAUGGAUGAUAUUGGAUGUAUCUAAAACUAAAAUACAUCUAGAUACAUCCAUUUCAGUGACAAGUAUUUUCGGACGGAGGGAGUAGUUU
Triticum aestivum (bread wheat) is the source of this 125-nucleotide non-coding RNA. The record is from Rfam. NCBI's taxonomy places the organism in Eukaryota, Viridiplantae, Streptophyta, Magnoliopsida, Poales, Poaceae.